Long non-coding RNA from Oncorhynchus tshawytscha (Chinook salmon), 2519 nucleotides. The record is from Ensembl. Lineage: Eukaryota; Metazoa; Chordata; Actinopteri; Salmoniformes; Salmonidae.
AAGACGACGCCUAAAUUGCGAUCUUGUAUUUACACUAAUUCGUUGUAUUCAGAAGGUCCGUUUCUUGUAUUUAUCAGUUUUAAAGACCGCCAAGCCGUAAUUAUGCUAUUGUCAAUAAUAAAUACAGAACAAGAGUCUACUUUGACUGGAUUUGAUUGGAAUAUCAUUUUCAAGGCUGUCUGGUGAACGUUUCGAGAUGUGGGACUAAUUUAUGCAUUUCCCAAACGUGCUGCUUUGGAGCACGGCUAUUUUUUUUUAUCCUCAGAAAACGUACUCUCAGGUAAAAAAAAAUCAAUGGCUGCCCAAUUUCUGGAAGAUCGUAAAUCUACCAUCUCUGAUUUGCACCAGACUGCUGCUCACGGACAGAAGAGAUGGACUUCAACCAUCAAUAGCCCGGUGGAGGAUUGUUAUCCAUGGUGCUGUGGAUGGUUACAGCAGACUUGUUGGGUUUCUGAAGGCCUCUGACAACAACAGGAGUGCCACAGUCAUGGAUGUCAUUCGAAGCAGCCAUCACCAGCUACGGAGUACCAUCCCGGGUGAGAUGUGACCCGGGUGGUGAAAACAACCGUAUCUGUGCCUUCAUGGAGCAAUUCAGGGGUGGUGAGAGGGGAAGUGCCCUCAGAGGAAGGAGCACACAACCAGAGGAUAGAGUGGCUGUAGGGGGACGUCUGGCAUGGAGUCUCCAACGUUUACCAUGACCUGUUCACCUUCUUGGAGACGGAGCAGAUCAUCGACAUCAACAAUGGGGUGGACCUGUGGGCACUGCACUUUGUGUUCCAGCCACGGAUGAACAGAGAUCUUGCUGUGUUUGCCAGUCAGGGGACCCACCAUGGGCUGAGGACUGAACAACGGCAGUCACCUCUGCAGUUGUUCGUCUCGGGCUCCCUGGCAAUGCAGAGGGCCAAUCUGACAGCUGUAAGGGAUUUGUUUGCCCCAAAUUCAACCACCAUCAGCUCUCAAGCCACCACCUCAGCUCCUCCUCCAACAACCAUCACCUCAGCGCCUCCUCCAACCACCACCUCAGCUCCUCCUCCAACAACCAUCACCUCAGCGCCUCCUCCAACCACCACCUCAGCUCCUCCUCCAACAACCACCACCUCAGCUCCUCCUCCAACAACCAUCACCUCAGCGCCUCCUCCAACCACUGGCGCCGCAGCUAUUUAUUGGUCGGAAUGGGUGAUUGUGCCACAAACCCAGUUCACCAUCAGCAACACACAGAUGGAGCUGUUGUGGACAAUAAUUCAAUUGGAAGUCCCCAGAGGCAGCCUGGGAGUUGACAUUCUACAGAGGGUUAUGGCAGUUAUAUCUUCAGCGCCACUCGUUCCUACUUCAACCUGAUUUAUACUCCCCUACUGGGAUGAGGGAUUGGAUGCUAUAUCUUCAGCUCCACUCCUUCCUUUGAAUCAGUUCAUUUUUAUAAUACUAUUAUACAUUUUAUAAUACUAACAUUCCCCCUCUCACACACUGUAUGAUUUGGUCUCUAGAAAGGUGCGACAGACAUUUACAACUCUAAACAGAUGGGGACCAGAGUUUAGACACAGGUGGCCUUAACAAAAGUGACGUACUUCUCCAUUCCGUUAUGAUUUUGUUUGCUCAUAUUUGGAGAGUGUCAGGUACUGUUAAGAUAUAAGGCUGAAGGUUAUUGUAUUUUGCUCUAUGGCGCUUUAGCACAGCAUUCCAUCUGCUGACACAAUGUUUGUCUUCCACUCAGUAUAACACGACCCAGGAGAGGCCUACUGCAAGCACUGGAUUAGAGCCUUCAGAGCGCGCCUGCUGUGGGAGGACAACAGAACAUUCUGAAUGGACAUUAUUAAAACAGAACUUGCAUUUUUGUAAUGCCCAAUCGGGACUUUUAUAAAUUGUUAAAAUAAAUGUGUGGAGAAAGCCCUAUAGUUAAAAAAAAUAAUUUAAAAAAACUAUGAAGAUAGGGAUUCGGCUCCCGUUACAUUUUAUAUCUUUGUGAUUAACAGCAACCGAUUACAGUUACUAACAUAACAUUGUUGACACAUUGUGGCAGCUCAAAUGAUGUGGUUGAAGAUGGACUAGUGCAGGGCUCUCCAACCCUGUACCUGGAGAGCUACUGUCUUGUAAGUUCACUCCAACCCUAAUCUAGUGCACCUGAUUUGAAUAAUUACCUGCUUAAUAAAUUAAUCAGGUUAGUUACAAUUGAGGUUGGAUUGAAAACCUACAGGAGGGCAGCUCUCCAGGAACAAGGUUGGAGAGCUUUGGACUAAUGGAUCUAGUUCUUAGAUCAAUGCAUUUGAAAUUCGAUAAGUUACUACGAAGGUGCAGUUCCCAGAAGUGGAGCUGUCACUUAAUACAGUGGAUGGGAAGUCUUAUUUCAUGUAGUUCUAAUUAAAUGAUUGUUGAAGUUUAUUGUUCUUAAUGUAGGACAUCAAAUUAUCAGAUUUGGAUGAGUUGGCUGCGAUAUGGCAGGAGUACUUCAGUCAAUAUCAGCAAAGGAUAUUGGUUAUUAGUGAAGUGUCAGUAAAGUGUUUCUAAAAAAUAAAAAAAACGCC